GAUAGAGAUCAUCAAAUUCAUAAUGGAAGUGAACUUGUCCAAGGAAGAAUAUAAGAAACUUGAACGAAUAAAACAUCUUUCCUCAUCAACGAAACCAAUAUGUGCAAGAAACGGAGCAAAGGUAUGUCUCUGAGGUUCUUCCAAGCAACUUGAAGUAGAUAGGGUACUUGCAACGAUCCUUACACCGCCCCUUGCAAAACGGACGAGUUACACUAUCAUUGAGCCCCACCUGACACGAUUUGCCCCAAAUCUUUGCUAAACUUCUUGGCAUGAGCCCUGUCGAGUCUCCGAGCACACAACUUGUAUGCAAACUAGCCCGCUGAUCUUUACAAGUGUAGAACCAUUCCUUUGAAUCGGUUUCUUUCUCGCAGAUGUCACACCAAUAUUUACCACUUGCCUCCUCUUCUUCGCCAUAGCACAGUGAGAGAGGAUGAUCGUCUACUCUAUUCUUCACCACUUGUGGUAGAGUGGCGCAUUUGAAUCCCAAUGCAAAUCCACAAUCACCUUCAAUGCACCUGAGGACAUGUGAUUCCCUUCUGUUGCAACCAUUGCAUAUUUCUACUUCUUCUGUUGGAAUGUAAUAUAAGGGAUGUUGGGGAUGACUUGGAUGGAAAAAUGGCUCAGAAAUUGAACCGCACAAGACAUCAAAAUCCUUAUCUUCAUCCUUGUACAUGAAACCAUUGGACCUUCGAUAGCAAGCAUCACAACUGAAGACUUGUAGCUCCUUGUUUGUAACUAAAGUGAGCCGUUCAUUGUGUAGUACAUGUCGUCUCCUUUUAGGACAUUCAGCACAAUUCUGAUGUAGAGAAAAAUCACAAUUCACACAGCUAUAAAAAGAUUGAAGACCGAUGGGAUGGGUGCAUGCGCUGCAUCGUUUGGUAUCCUCAUACAAAACACCAUUCUCAUUGAAUCUGAGGUAAUGCUCUUUGUGGCUGAAAUGUUGUAUUGUGUUGUCGUCUAUCACCACAUAUGGUUCUAUAUCUUCUUCUUCUUCAGGUACUCCUUCUAGUUCUUCCCCAUUCCACACAUCUUUUCUGGUAGCACAUUUAGAAUGAACGACAUAGCCAGGACACCUCUUGCAAGAAAACCCACCACAAGUCCAAUCCACUUUCUUGCGACAAACUCCACACACAGAAUUCAUAGCAGCGUCACCAAGAACCGAAGUACGAGAAACACGGUGAUCAUGCCGGUUGAUGUUAAUGACACGUGGAAGGCCAAGACAAUCUUGAUGGAUCAUGAAACCACAAUCAAAACAUGCGUAAGGGCUUCGAUCUCCCUUUAGACCGCAAGCAUUACAUGUAAAAGAAUCGAGUCUUGGAAGAAGGGUGAGUUGGUGAUCAUGCACUUUCGGAUCAACAAGAGAUUUUUGUGGUGGAAUAAGAACACAAUGGAAAUCCACAGUGAAGUUACAAGAAGAACAAUGAUAAAAAUAUUCACCAAUCUCUGUUCCGCAAAGACGACAUUUACCAUCAGAAUAGUGCGGUGGUGGACCUGUGAGGAGCUUAAGAGGAUGCAAGGAGUGGUAAGGGUGGUUUACCUCUGGUGAGUAAUUUAGCUUUAUUGCUGGGUUCCAUACACAAUCCACGUGGAAGGAUACAUCGCAUUCAUCACAUUUGUAAGGAAGUCCACCACUAGCCUUCCCGCAUUUAGCAGAACAGUCGAACUUAGUCCCUUUCUUGAGAAGUAUGAGCUUGUGGGGAUGGGUCUCAAAAUUGUCAAUAACAUUUGGUGGUUGUUGCUUGGCACAGUGUAGAUCCAAGUCGAAGUCACACAUGUCACAACGGUAGAAUAGCUUUGAGAUUUUCCAACGACAAAAGUCACAUCUGUUACUUGAUUCAUGUUGAAGCUCGAGAGUGUGCCCGGGGUGAGAUGGGUGGUUGAUGAAUUCAGAGAGCUCGUCGUUGCCACAUUUCUUGUGCACGAAAAAGACACAGAGUUUACAAUAGUAGCCGUCACUCUGUGAUUCAUAUCUUCCACAACAAUCACCUCUCCUCAGAUCAUUCCAAGGCAUCAUAGGAUGCUCGUGAAAUGGUAACCACACUCCCUCAGAUUCCAUUUGCUCUCUCUCUCUCUCGUAUACUAAAGAAGAUGAAGAAAGAGGAAGGGGUUGAAUACGUGUAUUAAGAAAAAGAAGAAGUCAUGAGGUUGAACAGUGUGGGCAUCUCUUUCUCUUUCUUUGUUUUCAUAUUUCGAUAAAGAAAAGGUUUUCUAUGCUUAACGUGGGGUUGUCCGCUUUGUUUUCUCUUUUACUUUUCUGGUUUUCUUUUUGCUUUUUCUCCAAAUGCGUAGUAUUGUUUACUUAACCAGAAAAGAUGGUGGACGAUCAAGAGGCUAUAUAAUUCUGGCAGCAUUUGCCUCCUUCAAAUCACGGUGGGAAACACAUGUUUGUGCUCAAACGCAUCAAUGCCAUAACCCCCACAAUAUGGUUAACACAGUGGACUCCUGAACCACGCGACGUUUUCUGAACAACGAUUACAAUCUUCUGAUUCUUAAUUAUUGUCUGCUUCAUGAUUCCUAUAACUUAUGUUAAGUCUCUUGCCAAACUUGAAGGGAUCCAAAUAGUUCUCUCUUUCUUAAGUACAACAUGAAUUUUGUUCGCUCAUGCUAGUUAACUUAUUCUACUCUCUUUUUUUUUUUGUUUUUUCUUUGUUCAUAUGCAGGAAGACUGUAAAGUCUAUAAUCCAAGGGUUUCUUUCAGGAUAGCCUUAUAGAUUUUUUUUCACAUUAUACUUGCAACUAUUUUGAUGAGCAUGACCUAAGUUGAAGGAUAUACAUCACUUUUGUGUCGUAGCUUGACACAGAAGUUACCGUUUAUGUCGGGGAAACCUGUGAUUUUGGUGUCGAUCUGUAAAGUUUACCACCUGAUGAAACUGAAAAGUCUCAAACACUAAACUGAAAAGUCUCAAACACUUAACUCACAAAAGGAGUAAAAGAGUUCCAAUUUCCAGGGUAAUUAACUUCACGAUUUUCUUCUAUAAUAGUUUAUAGAAAAUGCUUUGAUAAACAAUCAUUUUCUACCCAAGAGAAGAGAGACACAUCUUUCUUCCAUGUUUGAAUAGGCAGAGACAACACAAAGAAUGGUGAUGUGUAGGACAACAAUACUCGGUUACACUAUGAUUCACAGUGAUUGUUCUUUUAGUCCUCAAGAAUCUGUUACCUAUAAAUUUAUAAGAAAACAGCUCACAUUUUUAAAAUAAAAUAAAAAUAAGUUCGAUAGAGAUCAUCAAAUUCAUAAUGGAAGUGAACUUGUCCAAGGAAGAAUAUAAGAAACUUAAACGAAUAAACAUCUUUCCUCAUCAAUGAAACCAAAAUAUGCAAGAAACGGAGCAAAGGUAUGUCUCUGAGGUUCUUCCAAGCAACUUGAAGUAGAUAGGGUACUUGCAACGAUCCUUACACCGCCCCUUGCAAAACGGACGAGUUACACUAUUAUUGAGCUCCACCUCAAACGAUUUGCACCAAAUCUCUGCUAUACUUCUUGGCAUGAGCCCUGCAGAGUCUCCGAGCACACAUUCUGUAUGCAAACUAGCCCGCUGAUCUUUACAAGUGUAGAACCAUUCCUUUGGAUUGGUUUCUCUCUCACAAAUAUCACACCAAUAUUUACCACUUGCCUCUUCCUCUUCGCCAUAGCACAGUGAGAGAGGAUGAUCGUCUACUCUGUGCUUCACCACUUGUGGUAGAGUGGCGCAUUUGAAGCACAAUACAAAUCUACAAUCAUCUUCAAUGCACCUGAGCACAUAAUCUUCCUUGCUGUUUUUGCAACCAUUGCAUAUUUCUACUUCUUCUGUUGGAAUGUAAUAUAAGGGAUGAUGGGGAUGACUUGGAUGG
RNAcentral lists this long non-coding RNA (3825 nucleotides) under Brassica rapa (field mustard). RNAcentral describes it as "long non-coding RNA (BRAP_LNC006244)". The record is from RNAcentral. Lineage: Eukaryota; Viridiplantae; Streptophyta; Magnoliopsida; Brassicales; Brassicaceae.